Fukomys damarensis (Damara mole-rat) is the source of this 1124-nucleotide long non-coding RNA. RefSeq lists it as uncharacterized. The transcript has 4 exons. The record is from RefSeq and is a predicted model, not a curated record. Lineage: Eukaryota; Metazoa; Chordata; Mammalia; Rodentia; Bathyergidae.
GAAACAGACAGAGGAGACAGGGAUUAAGAUUGGCUGGAGAGGAGAGGAGAUCGGAACGCUGGUCACAUCUACGCAGCAAACAAGUAGAGGGAAAGCUAGAAAAAAAUGACAGAAGGGAAGAAUAAAGACAAAUGGGCGAUCGAAACACAGAUGGGAAAAUAUAGACAAUAUGCAUAAAGAAGUUUUCCCGGAGUGACUAAGAGGAUAGGGAUAAAAGAGGUAGGAGGAAAAGGCGAAGGAGGAAAAGAGAAAUGAGUAAGGAGACAAAGCAAGUAAUCAGUGCACAGGUGCAGAUCUAAAUGCUUAGAAAAUCACCAGGCUGUUCGGCUGAGCCUGAAGAGCCACGGCCAUACCCAAGAGGGGACCAUCAGAAAGACAGAAACAGGCAAUUUAAGCAGCUAGCUACUGGGGUAGAAAAAAAAAUGAAAAGAAAAAAAUAGAAGAUGGAAAAGGUGAGAAGCAGGAGAGGAAAAGCCCAAAGGAGACACUGGCCCAGAAACCUUUUUAACUUUCUGUAAAAAUCUUUAAGGCCCCAAACUAGGCCAAGAUUCUGACUGACAUUUCUGAGCUUGCCAGCUGCUGUUUCCUUGGGAGGAUUCUGACAGGAAGGCAUAGAAAUGCAAGCCAACACCGCCAGCCCUGGAAAUAAAUAAAUAACACUCUACUAAACAUGUCAAUGGGGACAGGAGCCUGCGGGAAGAAAGCCCACAAAGGAGGAGGAACCUGCCUGCGACUCUCCCCAGGGGUCUGAGCGCAAACCCAGAGGGAGUUGAACUCUCAGAGGGCAAUGCUGAGCUGAGGACGCCCCACGUGGCCUGAAGUUGUGCCUCACCCACUACAGAGCUUCUGAGGAGGGGAGAAGGAUGAGGGCUGUGCCUCCCUCACUGAGCCCCAACCCCAGAAUGGCUUCAUGUCCCCUGGAGGCCUUGCUUCCUUAUUUUUAGGGUGCCUAUUGCCAUGCUCCCCCAGGAGAAGCUGGAGGACAGGGUCAAGGAGAUGACCAUAGGAUGAACUGGCUGGCAGUGCCCCAAGACACAUAUGUCAUUGAGGGAAGGAGGAUGGAACAGGCCUGGACAAGUGACAAUCGACUCUCCAAAGUAUCUGCUCUCGAGACUGCAUCACCU